UCGGGAUUUGGGGUCCGGUGACAAGCCGGAGGAAGGCGGGGAUGACGUCAAGUCAUCAUGGCCCUUACGGGUAGGGCUACACACGUGCUACAAGGGCUGGUACAGAGGGAAGCGAAGCGGUGACGUGGAGCGGAUCUUUAAAAGCCAGUCGUAGUCCGGAUUGAAGUCUGCAACUCGACUUCAUGAAGUCGGAAUCGCUAGUAAUCGCGAAUCAGCAUGUCGCGGUGAAUACGUUCCUGGGCCUUGUAC
Molecule: ribosomal RNA, 249 nt
Filed under: uncultured Fluoribacter sp.
Lineage: Bacteria; Pseudomonadati; Pseudomonadota; Gammaproteobacteria; Legionellales; Legionellaceae
Description: partial 16S ribosomal RNA
Rfam family: Bacterial small subunit ribosomal RNA
Source: RNAcentral